Molecule: RNA transcript, 3452 nt
Organism: Drosophila subobscura
Lineage: Eukaryota; Metazoa; Arthropoda; Insecta; Diptera; Drosophilidae
Gene: mus301
Gene name: helicase POLQ-like
Exons: 10
Source: RefSeq, a predicted model, not a curated record
UUGAUGGACGGUCCCUCAAUCGCGCGCGGAACAUGUCCGAUCAUGCACAAAAAUAUAAUGAACAAAGUGCCAACAAAAGACAACGUGACGUAAAUGAAGCAAAGGAUGUUGGCAAUUGCAAACGCUUUUGCAGCGAUAGCCUCUUUUGGCCAGAAAGCGACGAAGAUAGUUUCUUUUCCAAUGCAAAACUCGAGGAUAUUGUCAGCGGGCGCAAUGAGGAGCUCUUCGGUACACAGGCGCCAACGAGCAAUAAACCGUUGCAACAGAGUGGAUCUGACGAUGGCCUUUUUGCCGACAUUACAUAUCCCGGCACCCAAAAAGCCGAGGAAAAUGAAGCUCCAACUAAAGAAAAUGAGGAGGAAGCCGGCACGCUGUUCAAGCAGAUCAAUCUCCAUGAUCUAAGCAUUGCCGAAAUGGAGAAUAUUUUCCACGGAGCAGAGGACUUUAGUGAACCAAUUGCACAGAACACGCAACUCUUCCUUGAUGCAGUUGCCUUCAAAGUGCCCAAUCCCAAGACCCCAGAGAGAGCAGAAAAAUCGCUGGCUCCGAUCAGCGACGAGUCCAUGUCCGCCAUUGAGGGCCUGGUGCUUGGCACGCAAUAUGCCACCUGCCACGAGCUGAAAAACCAAUCAAUACUCGACCCAAGCAAUUGGGAGAGUCAGGCCUUUGCCGACUUUGAGCAGAAGAGCCUGCUGCCCAAGGACAGCUUCCCAAGCAAGGGCGACUUCUAUGGUCUGCCGGAAAGGGUCAGGAAGAUGAUACUGGAGCACAAGGGCAUCCAGAGUCUGUAUGAAUGGCAGGACGAGUGCCUGAAUCUGCCGGCCAUACGCCAGCGAAAGAAUCUAAUCUAUGCUCUGCCCACCAGCGGGGGUAAAACCCUAGUGGCAGAGAUUCUCAUGCUGCGCGAACUGCUGUGCCGGGAGCGAAAUGUGCUGUUCAUAUUGCCCUACGUCUCGAUUGUCCAGGAGAAAGUCAGCGCCAUGUCUCCAUUUGCCAUUGAGUUGGACUUUAUUGUCGAUGAAUACACGGCCGGCAAGGGCAAGUGUCCGCCGCAGCCUCGUCGCAAGCGUCGCAGCUUGUUUAUUGCUUCAAUCGAGAAGGGUGCCGUGCUGAUGGACAGUCUGAUUGAUGUGCAACGUCCCCAUGAGAUUGGCCUAGUGGUGGUCGAUGAGCUGCAUUUGAUUGGCGAACGGGGACGCGGUGCCACCCUGGAGGCAUUUCUCACUAAAGUUAUGUUUUUGAAUGCAAACAUACAAAUUGUGGGCAUGAGUGCAACAAUCGGAAACUUAAGCGAGAUUUCUGCCUUUCUCAAUGCCGAUGUCUACACGCGCGGCUUUCGGCCAGUGGAGCUGAAGGAGUACAUCAAGUGUGGCUCCGAUUUGUUGGAAAUCAACUCGUCGGGCCACAAGCUCGAGGAGAUAUUUGUGCCCAGCCGCACAGUUGACUUUAAUUACAGCGAAGCUGUAAAGCGUGCGGAUCCCGAUCAGUUGGCUGGCUUAAUCAGCGAAUGUGCGCCAGAGCAUUGCUGCCUCGUGUUCUGCCCCAGCCGCAAGAACUGCGAGAAUGUGGCCCUGCUGCUGAGCCGCAUUGUGCCCAAGGCAAAGUUCUUUGCGCAUCGCCGCAGCGAAAAGGUCGAUCUGAUGGAUGCCCUGGACAAGGUGUGUGGCGUUCUCAGCCCCGUGCUGGCCAAAACGCUGCCCUACGGCAUUGCCUAUCACCACUCCGGCCUCACCACCGACGAGCGCAAGUACAUUGAGACCGCCUAUCGCUUUGGCGUCGUCACCGUCAUCUGCUGCACCUCCACCCUGGCCGCGGGCGUCAAUCUGCCAGCCAAGCGGGUCAUCAUACGCGCUCCCUACGUGGGCCAGCAGUUCAUGACGCUGUGCAAGUACAAGCAAAUGGUGGGGCGCGCCGGACGUGCUGGCCUCGGGGAGGCAGGCGAGAGUAUUCUAAUUGCCCAAAGCAAAGACAAUCUGCAGGUAGGGCAAAUGCUCUUCUCACCCAUGGACAAGGCGCUGAGUUCGUUGUACGAGCAGGAGGCAGUGGGCUUGCAGUCACUCAUUCUGAGCGUAAUUGGGCUAAAACUGGCCGACUGCCGUCGCGAUUUGAACAGCCUGGUGAACAGCACACUCCUUGCGGUGCAGGCGAAUGCCCUGGAGGUGGCCGUGGACGAGCUGGUGCUCCGCAUACUCAAAGAAAUGUUCAAGAACAAAGUGCUGCAGCUGUCGGAGGCCAAGCCAAAGGCGACAAACUGUUCGGUUAUCAUAACCACACAGGAUGGCGACCAAAGCACACGUCCUGCAGGCGAUCGUCGUCUAUUGAUCGGCCAAUCCACGCGCUUCAAGCUCACGGACAUUGGACGGGCUGCCUUCAAGGCGGGCAUUGAUUACAAGCGUGCCAGUGCCAUACACACCGAACUGAAGCAGGCCCAGCAGCAGCUCAUUCUCAGCAGCUACUCGCAUCUGCUGUAUCUCGUGGUGUGCUUCAACUCGAACGAGCGAGGAGAUGAGCUGUUCCCCGCCGAUGCCAGCAUUCUGUUCAAUGUCUACACAUCGCUCUCCACCGAAUCGCAGGCGCUGUUCAAGCAACUCGGCUUCACCGAGGCCCAUGCGGCGAGGCUCUACAAGACGCAGUCCGUGCAGGGUCCCAUGUCGCUGCAGCUGAAUCGCCUCUACAAAGUGCUCAUCCUGUCGGAUAUCCUCGAUCUGCUGCCGCUGCCCACAGUCUCUGGCAAAUACAACGUGGAACGUGGCACGCUGCAGCAUCUGAUUAGCCAAUCGAUUGCCGCCUCCAGUGCCAUUGUGCGGCUGUGCGAGGAGAUGGCAGAGUUCUGGUGCUACAAGCCACUGUUCGAGCGCAUCCUGCACAAAAUGGAUCGCUGUGGCACGCUAGAACUGGAGCCACUCAUGGAGCUGCCGGGUGUUAAAAUUAAUCGCGCCAAGCAGCUGUAUGCAGCGGGCUUCAGAACCAUCGAGGACUUGGCCAGAAUACGGCCCAUGAUCUUAGUGCAAAGCGUCGAGCAUAUGCCACUGCGCGUGGCCACGGAAAUUGUCUCAGCAGCAAAGAUUAUUUUGAUGAAGAAACUCGAUCACUUGGAGGAGGAAACGGAGAACCUGAAGGUCUGCCUGCGCUCGAGUGAUUAGAGGCGUGGCUAGUGGCUGGAUUCCCACGGAUAGGCAGACUCCCAAAAAGAGCAGACCGGGGAGCACGACAAUAAAUUGUCUGGGUCUCGAUGAGCAGGCAGGCCUCAGCUCAGCUCACCUUACCCGCAUUGUCUUGGCCAAGUUCAAAUUCAAGGCUAAGCACGAUGACAAAUGCCGAUGCAGUUCGGUUCUCAAACUAAUGUUGGACUCCAAUCAAAGUUAAUCUCCAAUCUACACAAAAUAAUCAUCUAACAAAUAAAAGGACUUGCUCUACGCUUGCUUCAGGGUCUUUGCUCCGCUCCCUCAGGC